AAGUCGUAACAAGGUUUCCGUAGGUGAACCUGCGGAAGGAUCAUUAUCGUACAAAAUGUGAGGGGCAUGCGAGGGCUGUCGCUGACUCAAAGUCGUGCACGCCCGAGUGUGUCCUCUCACAUAAAUAAUCCAUCUCACCCUCUGUGCAUCACCGCGUGGGCACCCUUUGGGAUCAUCUCGGAGGGGGCUCGCGUUUUCACACAAACCCCCCUUUUAAAAGUGUAGAAUGACCUCAUUUAUGCGCUAACCCGCAAUCAAUACAACUUUCAACAACGGAUCUCUUGGCUCUCGCAUCGAUGAAGAACGCAGCGAAAUGCGAUACGUAAUGUGAAUUGCAGAAUUCAGUGAAUCAUCGAAUCUUUGAACGCACCUUGCGCCCCUUGGUAUUCCGAGGGGCACACCCGUUUGAGUGUCGUGAAAACCUCAACCUCCUUGGUUUCUUCUGGAGACCAAAGCAGGCUUGGACUUUGGAGGCCUUUGCUGGCACCUCUCUUUUGAAGGCCAGCUCCUCUUAAACAAAUUAGCAGGGUCCUCUUUGCCGAUCCUCGACGUGUGAUAAGAUGUUUCCAUGUCUUGGUUUCUGGCUCUGUCACUUUUGGGACCCGCUUCUAACCGUCUUGAGACCUUGCGUCGAGACAACGUUCGAGCAUGUCUCCCUUUUCUCGGGAAGCUCCCUCGACCCCACGAACCCUUGACCUCAAAUCGGGUGAGACUACCCGCUGAACUUAAGCAUAUCAAUAAGCGGAGGAAAAGAAACUAACUAAGGAUUCCCCUAGUAACUGCGAGUGAAGCGGGAAAAGCUCAAAUUUAAAAUCUGGCGGUCUUUGGCUGUCCGAGUUGUAAUUUAGAGAA
This 852-nucleotide unclassified non-coding RNA is filed under the name uncultured Lactarius. RNAcentral describes it as "sequence contains ITS1, 5.8S rRNA gene and ITS2". The stretch from base 262 to 415 matches the Rfam family "5.8S ribosomal RNA". The record is from RNAcentral. Lineage: Eukaryota; Fungi; Basidiomycota; Agaricomycetes; Russulales; Russulaceae.